GGAGGGGUAGCUCAGUGGUUUGAGCAUUGGUCUGCAAAACCCAGGGUUGUGAGUUCAA
RNAcentral lists this transfer RNA (58 nucleotides) under Chelonia mydas (Green sea turtle). It matches the Rfam family "tRNA", at positions 1 to 56 of the family's 71-position model. Rfam says of the family: Transfer RNA (tRNA) molecules are approximately 80 nucleotides in length. Their secondary structure includes four short double-helical elements and three loops (D, anti-codon, and T loops). Further hydrogen bonds mediate the characteristic L-shaped molecular structure. tRNAs have two regions of fundamental functional importance: the anti-codon, which is responsible for specific mRNA codon recognition, and the 3' end, to which the tRNAs corresponding amino acid is attached (by aminoacyl-tRNA synthetases). tRNAs cope with the degeneracy of the genetic code in two manners: having more than one tRNA (with a specific anti-codon) for a particular amino acid; and 'wobble' base-pairing, i.e. permitting non-standard base-pairing at the 3rd anti-codon position. Lineage: Eukaryota; Metazoa; Chordata; Testudines; Cheloniidae. The record is from Rfam by way of RNAcentral.